Molecule: ribosomal RNA, 500 nt
Filed under: uncultured bacterium
Lineage: Bacteria
Description: partial 16S ribosomal RNA
Rfam family: Bacterial small subunit ribosomal RNA
Source: RNAcentral
AUUGAACGCUGGCGGCAUGCCUUACACAUGCAAGUCGAGCGGUAACAGGGUGCUUGCACCGCUGACGAGUGGCGAACGGGUGAGUAAUGCGUCGGAACGUGCCGAGUAGUGGGGGAUAACGCAGCGAAAGUUGUGCUAAUACCGCAUACGUACUGAGGUAGAAAGUGGGGGACCUUCGGGCCUCACGCUAUUCGAGCGGCCGACGUCUGAUUAGCUAGUAGGUGAGGUAAAGGCUCACCUAGGCGACGAUCAGUAGCGGGUCUGAGAGGAUGAUCCGCCACACUGGGAAUGAGACACGGCCCAGACUCCUACGGGAGGCAGCAGUGGGGAAUUUUGGACAAUGGGCGAAAGCCUGAUCCAGCCAUGCCGCGUGUCUGAAGAAGGCCUUCGGGUUGUAAAGGACUUUUGUCAGGGAGGAAAUCCCUAGUGCUAAUAACACUGGGGGAUGACAGUACCUGAAGAAUAAGCACCGGCUAACUACGUGCCAGCCGCCGCGGUAA